CAAUAGCGUAUAUUAAAGUUGUUGCGGUUAAAAAGCUCGUAGUUGGAUUUCUGCCGAGGAUGACCGGUCCGCCCUCUGGGCUGGUAUCUGGCUCAGCCUUGGCAUCUUCCUGAAGAACGUAGCUGCACUUCACUGUGUGGUACGGUAUUUAGGACAUUUACUUUGAGGAAAUUAGAGUGUUUCAAGCAAGCGCACGCCUUGAAUACAUUAGCAUGGAAUAAUAAGAUAGGACUUUGGUGCUAUUUUGUUGGUUGAGCCUAAAGUAAUGAUUAAUAGGGAUAGUUGGGGGCACCUGUAUUGCGUUGUCAGAGGUGAAAUUCUUGGAUUUACGCAAGACAAACAGCUGCGAAAGCGUCUGCCAAGGAUGUUUUCAUUAA
Molecule: ribosomal RNA, 377 nt
Filed under: uncultured eukaryote
Lineage: Eukaryota
Description: partial 18S ribosomal RNA
Rfam family: Eukaryotic small subunit ribosomal RNA
Source: RNAcentral